This is a non-coding RNA of Chrysochloris asiatica (Cape golden mole), 74 nucleotides long. The record is from the annotation of a RefSeq genome assembly. Lineage: Eukaryota; Metazoa; Chordata; Mammalia; Afrosoricida; Chrysochloridae.
GGCCGGUUAGCUCAGUUGGUUAGAGUGUGGUGGUAAUAACUCCAAGGUCACGGGUUCAAUCCCCGUAUGUGUCA